This is a transfer RNA of Camelus ferus (Wild Bactrian camel), 72 nucleotides long. It matches the Rfam family "tRNA". From Rfam's summary of the family: Transfer RNA (tRNA) molecules are approximately 80 nucleotides in length. The record is from Rfam. NCBI's taxonomy places the organism in Eukaryota, Metazoa, Chordata, Mammalia, Artiodactyla, Camelidae.
GGGAGCAUAGCUCAGUAGGAGAGCACAUGCUUGGCAUGCAUGAGGUCCUGGGUUCAAUCCCCAGUGCCUCUG